Molecule: transfer-messenger RNA, 231 nt
Filed under: Staphylococcus epidermidis
Lineage: Bacteria; Bacillati; Bacillota; Bacilli; Caryophanales; Staphylococcaceae
Description: partial transfer-messenger RNA
Rfam family: transfer-messenger RNA
About the family: Bacterial tmRNA, also known as 10Sa RNA or SsrA, is named for its dual tRNA and mRNA-like properties. Its role is to liberate the mRNA from a stalled ribosome.
Source: RNAcentral
GGGGACGUUCUUGGAUUCGACAGGGGUCCCCCGAGCUUAUUAAGCGUGUCGGAGGGUUGGCUCCGUCAUCAACACAUUUCGGUUAAAUAUAACUGACAAAUCAAACAAUAAUUUCGCAGUAGCUGCGUAAUAGCCACUGCAUCGCCUAACAGCAUCUCCUACGUGCUGUUAACGCGAUUCAACCCUAGUAGGAUAUGCUAAACACUGCCGCUUGAAGUCUGUUUAGAUGAA